AUUGAACGCUGGCGGCAUGCCUUACACAUGCAAGUCGAACGGCAGCACGGGUGCUUGCACCUGGUGGCGAGUGGCGAACGGGUGAGUAAUACAUCGGAACAUGUCCUGUAGUGGGGGAUAGCCCGUCGAAAGCCGGAUUAAUACCGCAUACGAUCUACGGAUGAAAGCGGGGGACCUUCGGGCCUCGCGCUAUGGGGUUGGCCGAUGGCUGAUUAGCUAGUUGGUGGGGUAAAGGCCUACCAAGGCGACGAUCAGUAGCUGGUCUGAGAGGACGACCAGCCACACUGGGACUGAGACACGGCCCAGACUCCUACGGGAGGCAGCAGUGGGGAAUUUUGGACAAUGGGCGAAAGCCUGAUCCAGCAAUGCCGCGUGUGUGAAGAAGGCCUUCGGGUUGUAAAGCACUUUUGUCCGGAAAGAAAUCCUUGGCCCUAAUACGGUCGGGGGAUGACGGUACCGGAAGAAUAAGCACCGGCUAACUACGUG
RNAcentral lists this ribosomal RNA (486 nucleotides) under uncultured bacterium. RNAcentral's name for it is "partial 16S ribosomal RNA". It matches the Rfam family "Bacterial small subunit ribosomal RNA", at positions 30 to 507 of the family's 1533-position model. The record is from RNAcentral.